RNAcentral lists this ribosomal RNA (535 nucleotides) under uncultured bacterium. Its description in RNAcentral is "partial 16S ribosomal RNA". It matches the Rfam family "Bacterial small subunit ribosomal RNA", at positions 355 to 878 of the family's 1533-position model. The record is from RNAcentral.
UGGGGAAUAUUGCACAAUGGGCGCAAGCCUGAUGCAGCCAUGCCGCGUGUGUGAAGAAGGCCUUCGGGUUGUAAAGCACUUUCAGCGAGGAGGAAGGUGGUGAACUUAAUACGUUCAUCAAUUGACGUUACUCGCAGAAGAAGCACCGGCUAACUCCGUGCCAGCAGCCGCGGUAAUACGGAGGGUGCAAGCGUUAAUCGGAAUUACUGGGCGUAAAGCGCACGCAGGCGGUUUGUUAAGUCAGAUGUGAAAUCCCCGGGCUCAACCUGGGAACUGCAUUUGAAACUGGCAAGCUAGAGUCUCGUAGAGGGGGGUAGAAUUCCAGGUGUAGCGGUGAAAUGCGUAGAGAUCUGGAGGAAUACCGGUGGCGAAGGCGGCCCCCUGGACGAAGACUGACGCUCAGGUGCGAAAAGCGUGGGGAGCAAACAGGAUUAGAUACCCCUGGUAGUCCACGCUGUAAAACGAUGUCGAUUUUGGAGGUUGUGCCCUUGAGGCGUGGNUUCCGGAGCUAACGCGUUAAAUCGACCGCCUGGGG